Molecule: small RNA, 125 nt
Filed under: Marmota monax (woodchuck)
Lineage: Eukaryota; Metazoa; Chordata; Mammalia; Rodentia; Sciuridae
Source: RNAcentral
GCUGGAUGUGGUGGCGCAUGCCUGUAAUCCCAGCAGCUCUGGAGGCUGAGACAGGAGGAUCACAAGUUCAAAGCCAGCCUCAGCAAAAGCAAGGCGCUAAACAACUCAGUGAGACCUUGUCUCUA